CGUGAAUUCAUCUCCGGGGGUAGAGCACUGUUUCGGCAAGGGGGUCAUCCCGACUUACCAACCCGAUGCAAACUGCGAAUACCGGAGAAUGUUAUCACGGGAGACACACGGCGGGUGCUAACGUCCGUCGUGAAGAGGGAAACAACCCAGACCGCCAGCUAAGGUCCCAAAGUCAUGGUUAAGUGGGAAACGAUGUGGGAAGGCCCAGACAGCCAGGAUGUUGGCUUAGAAGCAGCCAUCAUUUAAAGAAAGCGUAAUAGCUCACUGGUCGAGUCGGCCUGCGCGGAAGAUGUAACGGGGCUAAACCAUGCACCGAAGCUGCGGCAGCGACGCUUAUGCGUUGUUGGGUAGGGGAGCGUUCUGUAAGCCUGUGAAGGUGUACUGUGAGGUAUGCUGGAGGUAUCAGAAGUGCGAAUGCUGACAUAAGUAACGAUAAAGCGGGUGAAAAGCCCGCUCGCC
RNAcentral lists this ribosomal RNA (459 nucleotides) under Escherichia coli. Its description in RNAcentral is "bacterial LSU rRNA". It matches the Rfam family "Bacterial large subunit ribosomal RNA", at positions 883 to 1338 of the family's 2925-position model. Lineage: Bacteria; Pseudomonadati; Pseudomonadota; Gammaproteobacteria; Enterobacterales; Enterobacteriaceae. The record is from RNAcentral.